RNAcentral lists this ribosomal RNA (301 nucleotides) under uncultured bacterium. RNAcentral's name for it is "partial 16S ribosomal RNA". It matches the Rfam family "Bacterial small subunit ribosomal RNA", at positions 509 to 807 of the family's 1533-position model. The record is from RNAcentral.
CAGUCGCCGCGGUAAUACGAAGGGGGCUAGCGUUGUUCGGAAUUAUUGGGCGUAAAGGGCGCGUAGGCGGUUUGGCAAGUUUCGUGUGAAAUCUUCGGGCUCAACUCGAAGUCUGCACGGAAAACUGCCGGGCUUGAGUAUGGGAGAGGUGAGUGGAAUUUCCGGUGUAGCGGUGAAAUGCGUAGAUAUCGGAAGGAACACCUGUGGCGAAAGCGGCUCACUGGACCAUAACUGACGCUGAGGCGCGAAAGCUAGGGGAGCAAACAGGAUUAGAUACCCCCGUAGUCCCUGUCUCUUAUAC